This 72-nucleotide transfer RNA is filed under the name Draco maculatus. RNAcentral's name for it is "tRNA-Gln". It matches the Rfam family "tRNA". Rfam says of the family: Transfer RNA (tRNA) molecules are approximately 80 nucleotides in length. Their secondary structure includes four short double-helical elements and three loops (D, anti-codon, and T loops). Further hydrogen bonds mediate the characteristic L-shaped molecular structure. tRNAs have two regions of fundamental functional importance: the anti-codon, which is responsible for specific mRNA codon recognition, and the 3' end, to which the tRNAs corresponding amino acid is attached (by aminoacyl-tRNA synthetases). tRNAs cope with the degeneracy of the genetic code in two manners: having more than one tRNA (with a specific anti-codon) for a particular amino acid; and 'wobble' base-pairing, i.e. permitting non-standard base-pairing at the 3rd anti-codon position. The record is from RNAcentral. Lineage: Eukaryota; Metazoa; Chordata; Lepidosauria; Squamata; Agamidae.
UAGAGUGGAGUAUGGUGGGAAGUACGAAGAGUUUUGGACUCUUAUGUGGAGGUUCGAGUCCUCUCUAUCUAG